CCUACGGGAGGCAGCAGUGAGGAAUAUUGGUCAAUGGACGGAAGUCUGAACCAGCCAAGUCGCGUGCAGGAAGACGGCCCUAUGAGUUGUAAACUGCUUUUGUACAAGGGUAAACAUGAAUCCGUGUAUUCAACUGAAAGUACCCUACGAAUAAAGAUCCGCUAACUCCGUGCCAGCAGCCGCGGUAAUACGGAGGAUUCAAGCGUUAUCCGGAUUUAUUGGGUUUAAAGGGUGCGUAGGCGGAUGGAUAAGUUAGAGGUGAAAUGUCCGAGCUUAACUCCGGAACUGCCUCUAAUACUGUUCGGCUAGAGAGUAGAUGCGGUAGGCGGAAUGUAUGGUGUAGCGGUGAAAUGCUUAGAGAUCAUACAGAACACCGAUUGCGAAGGCAGCUUACCAAGCUACAUCUGACGUUGAGGCACGAAAGCGUGGGGAGCAAACAGGAUUAGAUACCCUAGUAGUC
RNAcentral lists this ribosomal RNA (460 nucleotides) under uncultured bacterium. RNAcentral describes it as "partial 16S ribosomal RNA". It matches the Rfam family "Bacterial small subunit ribosomal RNA", at positions 338 to 795 of the family's 1533-position model. The record is from RNAcentral.